UCGAGAAUCUUCGGCAAUGGGCGCAAGCCUGACCGAGCGACGCCGCGUGCGGGAUGACGGCCUUCGGGUUGUAAACCGCUGUCGGAGGGGAUGAAAUGCUAGGUGGUUCUCCAUCUAGUUUGACAGAUCCUCGGAGGAAGUACGGGCUAAGUUCGUGCCAGCAGCCGCGGUAAGACGAACCGUACAAACGUUAUUCGGAAUCACUGGGCUUAAAGGGUGCGUAGGCGGCAUUGCAAGUUGGGUGUGAAAUCCCACGGCUCAACCGUGGAAUUGCGCUCAAAACUGCACUGCUUGAGGGAGACAGAGGCGAGCGGAACUUAGGGUGGAGCGGUGAAAUGCGUUGAUAUCCUAAGGAACACCAGUAGCGAAAGCGGCUCGCUGGGUCUCUUCUGACGCUGAGGCACGAAAGCUAGGGGAGCGAACGGGAUUAGAUACCCCCGUAGUCC
Molecule: ribosomal RNA, 446 nt
Filed under: uncultured prokaryote
Description: bacterial SSU rRNA
Rfam family: Bacterial small subunit ribosomal RNA
Source: RNAcentral